GAUGAACGCUGGCGGCGUGCUUAACACAUGCAAGUCGAACGAUGAAGCCCAGCUUGCUGGGUGGAUUAGUGGCGAACGGGUGAGUAACACGUGAGUAACCUGCCCUUAACUCUGGGAUAAGCCUGGUAAACUGGGUCUAAUACCGGAUAGGAGCGUCCACCGCAUGGUGGGUGUUGGAAAGAUUUAUCGGUUUUGGAUGGACUCGCGGCCUAUCAGCUUGUUGGUGAGGUAAUGGCUCACCAAGGCGACGACGGGUAGCCGGCCUGAGAGGGUGACCGGCCACACUGGGACUGAGACACGGACCAGACUCCUACGGGAGGCAGCAGUGGGGAAUAUUGCACAAUGGGCGCAAGCCUGAUGCAGAGACGCCGCGUGAGGGAUGACGGCCUUCGGGUUGUAAACCUCUUUCAGUAGGGAAGAAGCGAAAGUGACGGUACCUGCAGAAGAAGCACCGGCUAACUACGUG
Molecule: ribosomal RNA, 466 nt
Filed under: uncultured bacterium
Lineage: Bacteria
Description: partial 16S ribosomal RNA
Rfam family: Bacterial small subunit ribosomal RNA
Source: RNAcentral